CAGUACCUCUGGAAGAGCAGCCAGUGCUCUUAACUGCUGAGCCAUCUCUCUUGCUCCACAUUUUCCUCUUUUUAAGUGCCUUUUCAUAUUACUCACCAACAGUAAAACUCCUACCCAGGGCUCAUUGUUUCUUUUCUGGUAUGAAGUUACAAGUUUAGUCACUAAUGUCCACUGGGUCAGCCAUACCUGCCCAUACUUGCUCUUAUUCAUCUUGUUAAAGAAAACCAGUUCUUGUUGAAAACUCAUUGUCAAGGAAAAUUUUAUUGUGGACUAGCAACAUAGGUUCAGGGUCUUCUGAAAUAGUAUUUAUGUAGGAAAAGAAAUUGGCAUUGGUUCUAAGUAUAGAAUAGACUAUUAGGAAAUUAUAGUUUAACAGCAGGAUAGAGGUCAGGGUAUGGAAAGUUAUCAAUAGGUAAAAUCAAGACCAAGUGAUAAUUUGGCUAAAAUGUCAUAGCAUGGUUAUUACUGAAGGCAGGCCAAAGUGAUUACAUGUUAGCCAGUGCAAUGUGGAGAAUGGAGAACUGAUUUGAUAUCAACUGAUAAGAGCUGAUUUGAUAUCCAAGAGUGAUCAGAUAUCAAAGGUGAGUAGUCUUCUUACAAAAAUUCCAUUUGAAGAGGAGUUGCACAGAUGAGCCUUAGGGAAGAUUCAGGAGUGUGACAAGUCUGGUCAUGUAAAGAACUGUUUUGUCACCCUUUGUUUCUCAUUAAGCACAAUGCUUGGCUCAUGGCAGCUGGAAGACAAUUCUGACUAAGCAUAGUUCUAGGAUGUAUAGAGAAAUGUAUAGUCACUAGGAUAAGAGUAAAAGUUACAUUGCCACGUAGAAAGAAAUGGAGUAAGUCACUCAGCAGAACAAUGUGCCAGCUUACUCUGAGUAAUCACUGGUACUGAUUUCGUGGUUUAAAACAGUACCCAUUCCCAGUUGUUAUACAUCAUAGGUUCAAGUGUGCUCAGCUGCUUUUCCCCCCUUUGCUUAUGGUCUGACCUUGCAUUUGAAGCUUAAAUCACUCUGUUGUCUGUGUUUGGAGGCUGAUUAUGGGAUGGAUCCCGGGUGCUGCAGUCUCUAGAUGGUCCAUCCUUUUGUCUCAGCUCCAAACUUUGUCUCUGUAACUCCUUCCAUGGGUGUUUUGUUCCCAAUUCUAAGAAGGGGCAAAGAGACCACACUUUGGUCUUCGUUCAUCUUGAGUUUCAUGUGUUUUGAAACUUGUAUCUUGGGUAUUCUAAAUUUCUGGGCUAAUAUCUACUUAUCAGUGAGUACAUAUCAUGUGAGUUCUUUUGUGAUUGGGUUACCUCCCUCAGGAUGAUACCCUCCAGGUCCAUCCAUUUGCCUAGGAAUUUCAUAUGCCUGCUAGAUUUUGCUGAAAGGACUCUGAUAUAGCUGUCUCUUUUGAGGCUAUGCCAGGAUCUGGCAAACACAGAAGUGGAUGCUCAUAGUCAGCUAUUGGAUGGAACACAGGGCCCCCAAUAGAGGAGCUAAAGAAAGUACCCAAGGAACUAAAGGGGUCUGCAACCCUAUAGUUGGAACAACAAUAUGAACUAACCAGUACUCCCCGGAGCUCGUGUCUCUAGCUGCAUAUGUAUCAGAAGAUGGCCUAGUCAACCAUCAUUGGGAAGAGAGGCCCCUUGGUCUUGCAAACUUUAUAUGCCUCAGUACAGGGGAACACCAGGGCCAUGAAGUGGGAGUGGGUUGGUAGGGGAGUGGGAGUGGGAAGAUAUGGAGGACUUUUGGGAUAGCAUUUGAAAUGUAAAUGAAGAAAAUACCUAAUUAAAAAAUCACUCUGUUGUUCAGUCUUAGCCAUCAUGGGUAGGCUUGCUGAGUUACAGAUUGGUUAGUAUUCCUUCUUGGCAGUUGUCAGGUUAUUUGUUAUUUAUGGUAGGAUUCAAGAAAGCCUCUGUGCCCAAAUGAACAUAACUAUAAGAUAGCUUCUAUGUUUCCUCAUGGAAGACAUGUGUCUUCGUUAGGGAGCUUAGCUAACUGGGCCUGGCCUAGCUAGCUCUCUACUCGUACUGUUGCUCAACACCAAGUCAACUGAUCAGGGAGUCUAAUUGAGUUUCUAGAAUUCUUUCUGCAUUUUGCUUUUGUAUUUUUUCAUGACUUAAUUUUUCAAGUAGUUUACCAUGUCUUUCAUAAUCUUUUGUCAAAAGUUAAAAGCAUGUAGUUUAGAGCUGCAGCUAUCAGCAUGGGAAGAAGAAAGGAAAUUGAAAGAUAAAAAUCACAACAUGGGAACUUGGGGUAAGUAUUUGAAGGCAGAUGUAAAGUGAAAGAAGAAAGAAACAUAGAACCCAAGAGUUGGAUGAUUGAUAGCAUGAGGACCAUUCAAUACAACUAGCUCAGUAAUCUAAAAUGAUAACAUCAGAAAUUCAGAAUAACUGAGCUGGAACUUUUGCAAGUGUGCAGAGUGAUUCUGGCUCUUACUUCUCUCUUUUACCUUGAUUAUGCCAAGAAGAAUGUAGAAUAGCAUUGCAGAAUUCUGUGCACUUGCCAGUUAGCACUUGGUGUGUUAGAAUGUCUUAGGGAGAGCUACAUGGUUCUAAAUAGAUGGCAAAUAAGACAUAAUGGUUGUCUAACAUUCUCUGAGUUCAUGAGUUGGCACAGCAGUUUCAAAGAAUAGUGACAUGGCCUGCAACCUAAAUUACGGUUUAUGGCCAUUGUUUCAUAACAUGGGUGGUUUUAAAGUCAGAUUCAAGGCAUUUCUGCCUUCUACACAAUUCAGCAAAGAACUGGAUGCAGACUAUUGGAGUUCAACAUUGGAAUGUAGGGACAAAGAAUAUUCUUUCUUUUCUCUCUGUAUGCUCUAAGUGAACUUAGAUUCUGCUCUUAGAUUUCUGCCACUAAGUUAAUUAUUUCUAGAAAUCUUUUAUUUACCUUAUCAAUUUCUACCCUGAGGAAAAAGACAACUCACUCAGCUAAGAGGCCAUCUCUCUUCUUAAAGUAUAACAUGAUGAAAUUUUCAUACCUUCCUUUCAACGUGCUUUGUCGCCAGAAUAUCUAAGCCUUAUCCCUUAAUUACAAUUAAGUAAAUAAGUAAAUAAAUAAAUUAAUUAAAUAAGUAAGUACUAAUGUGACUUUUUUUUUCUUAAGCCAUUAGAUUUCUGCAGGAAGUCUCAGGUGUGAGUGAGUUCCUCUUAACCAUACUGUGGGUUUGGAACCCUCUUCAGAGCUUAGGAGAAAUGGGAUCAAAUGGAAGCACAUUCCCUAGAGGAGAUGGAUUUUUUCUCUUUUAGCAGCCAUUAAUUGUCUAUAGCUCCCCAUCUAAGGCUGGGGCUCUGUUAGAUUUCACCCAUCCGGUUGGGAUAUCAGCUGGUAUUGUCAUUGAGGAGGUCUUCUUUAGGUCACCAUAUUGUUGAGAUUUUAUGGAUGAGACUCCCUGUAAUAUAUGUAAGACACAGUCUUAGAGCUUAUGUCUCCAAUCCUCAGAGUGUUGCAGUCAUCCCAGCCUUUCUUACAUAGUACUUCCUGAAUGUUAGGCAUGGAAUGGUGUUAUAGAUAUAUCAGUUUCUCUUUCUCUGUACACAUCACUGUCUAUGGUGUUCAUAUCUACAUUAGAGGAUAUUCUGUGGUAUCUGGUGAACCUUGGCUCUUAAUUGUUAGUUAUAUUUCUUUGUAAAAUUCUCAUAAGUCAAUUAGAUUUUGUAGUUAUGGAAGCUUAUUAGUAAAAAUAAUUAAAGAUUUGUAAUUGCCCAAAUAAUAAGGAUCUAGCAACUAUAUCAAAGAUCUAGCCUCCAACAGGUCAUAGCCAUCAAUCUUCUGUCUUAAGCUAUUAGACUUCUUCAGGAAUUCAGCUUCUUAGAUGUGAUCCAGUUUCUCUUGAACAUAUUUUGUAUGUUCAUUGGUAGGGAACCAUAUUUAGAACUAAGGAAAAAGGGGGUCAAGUGGGCAGAUGGGUCUCAGAAGUCAGUAUGUAUGUUUGUGUAUUUCUUGUGAGUGACAAGCUUUCACACUUUCAGCAUCCUGAAGUGAGGUUCGAAGUUUCUCUUUGGUCAAAUUCUGUGCUAAUACAUCUGAGCCUGAGUCCCAUUCCAAUGGAGGGGCUGUCUGUAGGUUCACUUGUUCCUAACUCUUCUGCUUCAAAUCCUAUCUCUUUUAGAAGUACAUUCAGAAACAAGAUGCUGCAUCUCUCCAGUGUCUACAGUAAAAUACUUUUAUCUACUGAUGACUACUGUAGACCCACUUACCUUUCAAUGUUUUCUGUCCUGUGUCAAUUACUAUUCAUCAUUAUACAUUCCUCCUUUCAUACAUUUUUAAUGUUUUCACCUGCUUUAGUCUUGUCUCCCAAUAGUUUUGUCACUUUGAACCUGUAUAGCUUUCAUUUCCUUUACUCUCCUUUGAGUGGAAUUUUGGGAAAAAAAAAUAAGUAUAGAUACAAACCUAGGUUUAAUUCAUGAUGUCAUGAAAGAUUGCAAUUAGGAUUUUUUAAGUUUUACUGUAUGCUAUAAAAUAUGAUUAUUAUCUUUAUGCCAUGGUUGCUUAAACUGUGGAGUCUCAGCUGGGUACAUGGGCAUCAUGUGGGAGAUUGUUGUAAAUAACAAUUCUCUGUUCUCCUUCAAUAUCCUACUGAAAAAUAAUUUAUUCUUUCAUGUGCUUCCAUGCUAGUUCCUUUGAGCAUUCAAAACAGAGUUCAUUCAUAAAGUAGACAUCUCUAUUAUAGUUCUAUACCAUGAAGGCUCACGGGACAUUGUAGAAGAUGAGGCAGAAAGAAUGGAAGAGCUGGAGGAUUGCGGGGAGUGCUAUAAAAGGCUGGCUUAUUGACACACCAUAGCUAUCAUGAUUGUGAACUCACAGCAUCUGAAGAAGAUCGCACAAGAUUAGGUCAGCUAAAACCCUAGCAUUGGUAUGGUAGAUAAUCUUCACAUCAUUUUCCUCUCAUAUUAAAGAGCUAUUGGUAGUAGAUUGUUGUUGAGGAAGCAAGACUUACUCUUUACUGAGGAUAUAGCAACUGUUAGGGAUACCAUAUUGCAACAGGUAGGACCCACAGCCAUGUACAUAUGGACAACGCUAACUAGAUUUGGCGGGUUAGACAAACAAACUACAUGAAGUUUUUAAAGGGAAUAAUUGAAAACUAUGGGGAAGCUAGAGGGGGAAAUGAGAGCUAGAUAUAGUCUUUGCAUAUGUAUAUGACAUUCUCAAAAAUGAAAAACAAAAUUGAAGAGAAAUUUUGGUUAGAAAGAACAUGACUAUUCUAGCUCACUGAAAGACAGUGCAUAACAGUUUCCUCAUUCAAGGUUGGUAUUAGAAUUGCCAGGUGAAGUGGUGGUGUUCAGAUGGGAACUGAUCAUAGGAGACUUAAAGGAUAAUUUUGUAUGUAUGUGUAUGGCAUGAGCCUGUGUGUGCAUGUUUGCAUGUGUGCACAUGUAUAUGCUUCUUUGGAGACAAGGUCUUUCAGUGAACUGGAGCUAGACUGGUAGCCAGUAAUCCCCAGAAAUUCUUCCACUGUCACCUCUGCAACACUGGUGUUGCAGGCAUUGUGAAGUCCAUGCCCAGUGUUGUUCAAGUAAAUGCUGGGAAAUCUAGAUCAGGUCCUCGUGAGUGUACAUAAAGUUUCCUCAUGUCUUGCGGGGAUCAAAUAUAUUCUACUUGCUCCCAUCUUUCCUUCACUCUUCACCACCUAUUACUCCAAAAAUUAUGUGCCCCCAUUUUCUCAUCCCUGUAUAAAGACCCAUACACUCUUGAAAAUGGUCUGCAGUUAUCAGUAUAUUGGCAACUCCUCUACUUCUACCCUUCCUCAUUUGAUCUAUGACUAAAUUUCUGGCUUCGUAUUUGUUGGUAUUUGUUAAUUUUGGCCUAGGUCAUAUCUGGAUUCAACCUGGAAAGAGAUCAUAAAAGGUAUUGAUGAAUUUCACAGUGCAGAGGAAGAAUACAAGUAGAGUCACCCUUUAGAAAAACUAGAUGUCUGAUAUCCUGUCCCACCAUGAUUCAAAGGCCAAAAGCGAGAAUCCGUGAUUGAAACCAUGGAAAUGACUUCAGAGUGACAAAACCUUAAGCAUUGGGGUAGGAUGAGUUCUCAAGCCAGGUGAGCUUCAUAGGGAAAACUCUGGUGACAGAGUUCUAUAAAUCUUAAACGUAUUUUGAGAAAGCAGGAACUGAGCAUGAAGACCGUUAACCCAGCUGGCUUGCCGUCUUGCUGAACAAUUCAAACCAGAAGUCCCUUGAUAUGUCUGUUACUGACAAAACUGUGAAAGGUUCUAGAGCUUAUAAAACAAGUCAGUCUGCACUAAGUGAAAAGACACAGUGAGGCCAGCUGAGAUGGAAUGAAGCAAGGUUGCUAACUAGUCUAGAGGAAGCCAAGUGCCCACAUUUUUUAUGGACAGCUAAUUACUAAUGAAACAGUGUAAGCUAUUGACAAGAAUAACAGUAGAAUAAUAUCCUGGGUGGAGUAGAAGGUAGUCUUUGGCUUCAUCAAUUUUGAAAGUAUUCUUUUGUCCUUAAACUUAAAGCGUAGUUUAAAAAUAUACUUUGGAAGUCAACCAUAAAUAUACAGUUUAUAUAUAUAUAUAUAUAUAUAUAUAUAUAUGUGAGAAAUUGUCAAUUCUGCUGUACUAUGGGUUAGUAAUCCAUACUGAAGAUUUAUUUUUAAAAAUACCAACUCUCUAAAUACCUUUUCUCAGUUCAUUUUUAAACAUCCAGCCAAUGAAAGGGCUAAGUAGAUUAUUUCUUCUAAAUGCUAAGAUCUAUUUUUCUCUAUGGGAAUGCUCUUUCAAUCUGUUUAACUUCACUUUAAAAUCAUUUUAACUUAAAAAAACAAAACAAACAAACAACCAAAAAUCCUUAGUGUGCGCAACUUUGGAUUGUGAAGGUCAGAGGGAAACUUGCCAGACUUAUUUCUCUCCUUUCACCAUACGUUUCUGAAUGGUCCAAAUAAGGUUAUCAGGAAAGGAGGAAAGUACCUUUAUCCCCCUAUCCUCCUUACUGGCCCUACCUCAAUGUACCACACUGAAUCUAUAACUGUUGAUCUGGGUAUUAAAUAAAUAUUUGUAGAGAGAUGAACAAAGAGUAAAAUGUACAGAUAUAAAAAACUUCAUAUGCACUAGAAUGAUAUGAUUUAACAGAUUAAAAACAAUAAUGAUGCUGGGUGGUGGUAGCACAUGCCUUUAAUCCCAUAACUCAGCAGUCAAUGGCUGGUGUAUCUCUGUGAGUUCGAGGCCAGCCUGGUCUACCAUUCAAGUUCCAGGACAUCCAGCGCUGCCCCAGAGAAACACUAUUUUAGAAGAACCAAAAACAAACAGACAAAUAAACAGAAACUCCAAUUAUGUACAAGUCAGCCCUUUUCCUUCUUGUGAGAUGAGGAAACUGAGGAAACAAGAACAUCUUCUUUUGGGCAUCACAACUGGUUAAUGGCAGAACGAGGGCUCAUGUCUAAGCCAGUCUGUUCAAUAUUCUUUGCAUUCUAAUCUUAUUUUCAUUUCCCCCUAAGAGAAUAAUGAAUUGUUUCUGUGAGGUUGCUUCUGACCCAAGUCACAUUAAACCAGCCAUGCCUGACUUUGUUAAAAACUCAAACUCAGAAGGACGAAAAUAAAGCAUCUUUCACCCCCUUCCCCACAGCCAAAAUAAUUGGCAUAUUUGCUUUUAUUCAACAAUGAUGAUUGCAAAGACAGAGAAAGUGAAAAGCUGUGCCUUCGAAUUAAUUUGAAUGUCUGAAUGUCAGACGCAAUAUAAAGGGGGUAAGCUGGCCUCAAGGAACUAUUGCUACAUAAAUGGGAGGAAAAGAGAUUUUCUUCUGCAGUGAAUCAAUAGAAGUUCAUGGAUCUGCAGAUUUAUUUGUUUCUCUCCCUGGUAACUGAAACCCCUAAUUACAUUCACAGUGUACUUAGAUAUUGCAUAGUAAUUACUUGUGACAGACCCAACUUGAUACAGAUGGAACAAAGUAGAUGAAUAUUUAGACCCAGCAAUACCGCUAAUGACUCUGAGACCAGGUAACUUUUCUUCACGGGUACAGUUUAUUACAAAGUGCCUGUGAAUUGUUUGUCUUCUUAAUUAAAGGUUUGGUUGUAUUUCCAAGGGGUUGUUAAUAAUGAUAAUGAUGGUAGAGUCACUUAUCAAAUGUGUGAUCCUGUUUGAGUUAUUCGUUAUUCAGAGCCUAGUGUUUCUCAUUUGUACAGAAAGGUUUAUAGUGGCACCCACCACAUAUGGUUAUUGUGAUAAUUAAAAGAGAGCAUGCAGGUAAGGUUGUGCAUGUGUGCUCACAUAAAAAACACUCAAUAAAUGUUAGCUAUUAUUACUGUUGUCAGCUACUCCAUGGGAGUUAUUUUGUAAAACACUGUACUUCCAUUGCUGUUGCCUGAAACCUCAGUAAAUCAUUCUUUCCCACCCCCACCCCGCACACCCUGGAUUACUAUAUAAUUUGUGGAUAUUUCUACCCUAAGGAACUUCCCCCAAAGCACAAUGACUUAUAGCUGAAAAGAAAGAUCCUUCUUCAUAUGGUUUUUAGAACACUCAGUUCAAACAUAAAAUUCAGCAAAUGCAAGAUGUACUGUUUAUUCUUUAUUUUCCAAGGAAGCAAGGUUCAUUAAUUGGAUCAAUUUCCUACAGAGCAAACAUCGAUCUUAAAUAUCCUCAUUUAACAUUCUCUCAAAUUUUGGCACCCCUUCCCAUUCCACUGAGUUGUGUGAAGACCCAAUCAUGACAUAUAGGAAAAGGUGCUUAUUUUUUUUAACUCCAUGUUGUUGAGGGGAUUGGUCAUUGAUAUUCUCUGGAGAUCUACAUUUGAUACUUCCUCCAAAGCUCCAUAUAAAAGCAUCUCCGAAAUAUUUCCUCCUGUCUUCAAAAUGCAGCUGGGUAUAAGCUUUCUUUCCUCUUACUAUAUUUCAGAUGGUCCGCUUUGAUACCUGAGUAACAUACUUCAGUGUAGAGUAGGAAGGUAUACUUCGUUACUUCAACUAUACUCCCAAGAAGGAAAGGUCUGUGCCCGAUUAGUCUCUUUGUCGCCCACAGGGCAAGACCAUGUAUCUUCCUUGCAGUAAUGCCUCGACAGAUAUUUGAUUAAUGAGAAAACAAGCUUGUGAAAACCCAUACACAAUACCAAAUUCUGUGGAUUAUGUAGAAAUAGUAAAGGCAAAUAAAGAUACAGCAGUUUCAAUGUUCAAAUUAAUAGCAAAAUAUUUUGCAAUUAGAAACUAAUUAGAAAUCCACUUUCAUUGUAUCCAUCUCAUUACUCAGUGAGUCAGCGCAUAUUGAGCACCUUCCAGGAGCCAAACAUUAUGCUCAGUGCUAGUAUUUCAACUCAAGAAAAUAAAUAUUUCCACUCUACGAAGCCUGCAGUCCUGAAGAAAUAAGAAAGAGUUAUAAAUCUAUAACUUGUUUUUGCAGAUUACACAUUAGAUCAUUCUUUAUAAAAAUAGGUCACUGAAGAGUUCUUGAGUUCCAUUUGUCAGUUAUUAAUUAUAGCACUGUGGUCACUGUUCAUUAGAUUGAAUUUGGCUAUUGAUAGUAGGUCAGGCAAAUUGUUUUCUAGUUAAAAUAAUUACUUAGCUACUGAGUGAAAUUUGCUUUGAAUUACUUUUCAUAAACACAGGUAAUUGGGCAUGUCCUGCUCAGUUAUAAAUACACAUACCAAAGUACAUUGAUCUACUUUCAUUGGUAAUGAGUUUUGAAAACCAUAGCUUUGGUGCUUAAACUUACUUUUCUUCGCUUAUUGAAAAGUCCAGAGGGCAUAAGCAAACUUCAGAGAAUAUUUCCACAUAACAAGAAAAAAAUUAACUAAUGAAAUUUCUGGACAUAUAUCUUAAUUUAAAAAAUCAUAAGCAAUUCUGUACUGACAUGGAUUCAACCAAUAUGAUCGAAAAUGCAUUUCUCAGUUAUUGACCUGUAUCUGGUUUACAAUGAAAAAAAGGAAAGUUUUCUUUAAUAAUUCAAACUAAUUUAUUGCUCUUAAGUCCAGAAUAACAGAAAGUAGCUUGAAAGUCACAUUUUAUAUUUCUAAAUAUAUAUGCCUGAAUAUUAAUGAUGUUUUGAAAUAUUUCCACCUAAUGGAUCAUUUGAAUAAAGUGAUUUAAAAUAGUCAUUAUUUCAUGUACUUCUUUGUGAUUAGAACAUUGAAAAAAAAUCUAUUCUCAGCAAGAUCCAACAAAUAAAACAAAUGAUUCUAGUCACCAUGUUGCACAAUGGAUUCCUCAAACUUCUUUAUUGUGUCUAAUUGAAAAGUUUCCAUUAAGCAACAUAUUGAUAACCUUACCCUUUCUCAUCUCCUGAAAAAAAAAAAAAAACCCUUUCUAGUCCUUGUUUCUCAGAAUUCAUCUUGAUUUUAGACUUCCCAAAUAAGUGAUAUUAUAUGGUUUACCUGGCUUAGCCUGGAAUUAUUUUACUUAAUAAAAUGUUCACUACUUAUUUUACUUAAGGAAACCUUGUCACCAAUAUCUAGAUUUUCUUUCUUGCUUGCUUGCUUGCUUGCUUGCUUGCUUCUUUCUUGCUUUCUUCUUUCUUUCUUUCUUUCUUUCUUUCUUUCUUUCUUUCUUUCUUUCUUUCUUUCUUUCUUUCUUCCUUCCUUCCUUCCUUCCUUCCUUCCUUCCUUCCUUCCUUUCUUUCUUUCUUUCUUUCUUUCUUUCUUUCUUUCUUUCUUUCUUUCUUUCUUUCUGUAUCCCACCAAGUAUACAUACCAUAUUUUCUCUAUCCAUUUCAAGAACUCUAGACACCUAGGGUGUUUCUUUAUCUAGACCACCAUAAAUCAGUGUUCAUAGUGUAAGUGGAAGUUCAGAUAUCUAUUUGACAUUCUGGUUUCAUUUGUAUCCUAUGUAUAUCCAGUAGUAAGGCCACUGGAUCAUACGAUAGAUAUAUUGUUCAUGUGUUUCGAGACACUGCCUGUCUUAGUCAGGGUUUCUAUUCCUGCACAGACAUCAUGACCAAGAAAUAAGUUGGGGAGGAAAGCGUUUUGUUUACUCAGCUUACACUUCCAUGUUGCUUUUUAUCACCAAAGGAAGUCAAGACUGGAACUCAAGCAGAUCAGGAAGCAGGAGCUGAUUUAGAGGCCAUGGAGGGAUGUUCUUUACUGGCUUGCUUCCCCUGGCUUGCUCAGCCUGCUCUCUUAUAGAACCCAAGACUACCAGCCCAGAGAUGGCAGCAUUGACAAGGGGACCUCCCGCCUUGAUCACUAAUUGAGAAAAUGCCCCACAGCUGGAUCUCAUGGAGGCAUUUCCAUAACUGAAGCUCCUUUCUCUGUGAUAACUCCAGCCUGGGUCAACUUGACACACAAAACCAGCCACUACACUUCCAUAUAGGUUUUCAUAAUGGCUACACUAGUUCACAAAUGUGCCCGUAUUGUGCCAGUUUCCUUUCUUCCUUAUUCUCUCCAGCACUUGGUCAUUGUCUUUUUAUUACUAGCAUCAUAAGAGGUGUGAACUCUGAUAUAGCUGUCUCUUGUGAGACUAGGCCGGGGCCUAGCAAACACAGAAGUGGAUGCUCACAGUCAGUUAUUGGAUGGAGCACAGGGCCCCCAAUGGAGGAGCUAGAGAAAGUAUCCAAGGAGUUAAAGAGAUCUGCAACCCUGUAGGUGCAGCAACAUUAUGAACUAACCAGUACCCCAGAGCUCUUGACUCUAGCUGCAUAUGUAUCAAAAGAUGGCCUAGUCGGCCAUCACUGGAAAGAGAGGCCCAUUGGACACGCAAACUUUAUAUGCCCCAGUACAGGGGAAUGCUAGGGCCAAAAAAAUGGGAAUGGGUGGGUAGGGAAGUGGGGGGGAGGGUAUGGGGGACUUUUGGGGUAGCAUUCUAAAUGUAAUUGAGGAAAAUACGUAAUAAUAAAAAAUAUUUUUAAAAAAGUAAAAAAAAAAAGAGGUGUGAAUAUGUCAUUGUAGUUUUAAUUUGAAGUUAUGUGAUUGUUAUUGAUAUCAGCCAUUUUAUUUUACCAUCUCUUUUGGUUUUUUUUUGGGGGGUGGGGGUCAGGAAUAUCUCUUUAUUAUAUAUUUCCCCAUGUUUAAAUUGAGUUGUUGGUAUUCUUACUACUGACUGGAUUGAAUUCUUUAUUCUGUUGGGAUAUUAACUUUAUGUCUUGAGGGGCUACAUUUUAGAGGUGAAGAACAGAUCCUGCUAGGCAGGAGAGAACUUUCUAUCCUCCCUCUUCAUCGUCAUCACCCUCCUCCUCUGUGCAAUCACUCAUCAUGUCUACACUCUGCAUUGGAGGUUAUUACGACAUGUGCACAAUGAUUACAGCGCCUUUGUGCUGCUUUUAUUUCCCGCAAUAGGUGAAGAAUAAUGCAUAGAUGGCAAACCCUCAAAGUGGCCUCUUUUAAUAUAUAUUAGGAACCUGGCAUUUUCAAAUCGUAUAGUAUGAGUCAACCUGUUAGCAGCAGUAUUGGACUGCUUUAUGUACAAGUUUAUGGUCUGACAAAUAGACAAAAAUGCUUUCCAUUUUUGUGAUCACUAGUGAUCACUCCUAGGCCUAAACAUGGAAAGCAUUUUUGUCUUUUUGUUGUUAUAGAAAAAUAUCUUAGGGAGACUAUUAACAAAAGAAAGGUUAGUUUUGCCUUAAGUUUCUGGAGUGACAUGGUGUAGAGCAUCCAUCUGGUCAUGCCAUUUUGCUGCCAAAGUCCAGGGGGAGCAUAGCUUAUCAGUUAGUGUGAGGGACAGAGGAUUCCACGUGUAUUUGUCCCUUCUGAUCUUUCUUCUUCUUGUUGUAAACCUACGAAUAUUCAGGCACAAGAAAUUCACCCUAAUGAUGUUACUUUAUUCUAAUCAAUUAUUGAAGGCCAUAAUGACAUAACCCACAGUCUGAAUACCUGAGGGUGAGGAUGGGAUUUUAACACACAAAAGUCUGGUGGACAUCCAAACCAUAUUCACACCAUACAAGCAGCACUGCUAGCAUCCAGAUACAGCAUGUUCUUAUAAGUGGGAGAGGGAUGCCCAAUAGGACCUGCAUCAGACUUGAGAGAGUACACAGGGAGACCUGAUCUCUGAUCUCACUUGUCCCCCACUCCCUCCCUUCCAAUGUUUCCCAUUGGAGCAAGAUGUGCUACCCAGAGAUUAAAUGAAAUGAAUGAAACCAUCUACUACAUGUGUGCAUGUAUGUAUGUGUGUAUGUAUGCAUGCGUGUAUGUAUGAUGUAUGUAUGCAUGUAUGUAUGUAUGGGCUUUCCUGCCAUACAUGUGUGAUGCAUGGACAUACAAGCAGAAAAGUGUCAGUCCUUUAGAGAAAGUUCACAGGUAUCAUCAUUAACUUAAUAUCCAUGCAACCUUUUGAAGAUGAGCCUCCUUCUUCCCAUGUGAUGGAACAAAAGACUAAUAAAAAGUUGUGCUCACAGAAGCCUCUCUCUGCUGGACCAUCAGACCGCUUUUGAAGUUUUCUGUGUAAAAGUGAUUCUUCCUGGAAACAAAGAAGCUGGUGUCAGUGAUAAGUGGUUUAGAAGGUGACUCAUCAAGUUGGAGAGAAAUGAUUGAAAAGCAGAGGUCAGGAGCUUCUUGGUAACUGUGGGGGGUAGACUAUCAUCCCAGGGACAAAUUAAACACAUAGUGAGAGAAGAGAAGGCCAUAGCAGUUAUUCUGCAGGUUACAUUGGGCUACUUUUUAAUAUUCCUCAAGAAACUUGGGUGAAUAAUGUAUGGGCUUUGUAUAUUUCUUUGGUUAUUGGUGUGUGCCUGGGCUAAAUUGAACCACAUGGCUUCUGCAUUACCUGGGGUCUACACUUCACAUUUUUUUUGACAGAGAUAUAAUUAAAUUAAUUGCCAAAGAUCACACACUCAGAAAAUGCUGCGUUGUUGCUCUUGCCAAAGUAUAUUGUCUUGAGAUCCAUUCAUCUCAGCUUAGCUUUGGGUUGAAGUCACCUUUUCUGAAUUUGUUGAUUGAUUGUUUCCUGGGGCAGGGUGUCUUGAAGGCAUGGUGAGUCUGUAAUGUACCUUUUCUAUGCUCAGUCAGAUUAGUCUUUUAUAUUUCUUAUGCAGAGAUUAGUAACGGUCAAGUGUUGUUGAAUCAUUCAGAUGAAUAGUUCCAUGAUUAGAUCUGCUUUUAGUGUUUGGUAUGAUGUCAAUGUAUUCUUUAAGAUAAGACCUGGGUUUAUUUUUUUCCUUUAGUCCAUUUAAUCAUGACUUUGAUGUUCUAACAAUAUUGCACUUCUAAUGGCUUCUAAUUGCUCUUACUGCCCUGUUUGAGACCUAGGACAAUCAUUGUCCUACGUGUCACCUGCAGUCUACUCUACUUCCUCUCAUUCAUUGCCUUUAUAAUUAGAAAACAUUUAUUAAUCAUGUAGAUUUGCUCACUUUUUUUAAAAAAGAAAACAAAUUAUAUUUUGUUCCUGAUAUACAGGGACAGUUUAAACAACAGUGUAGGUGGACAGGAAUGACUAACAGAAAACUUCUGCGGUGUUUGGACCUCUGGACUUUUCUUCCACUACAGCCCACAUCAGCUCCUCUUAAUUCUUUCAGCUUCCUCCUGAAACCUAACUUACUUUCACAGGCAUGACCUUUUCUUAUUCUGAUGUGAUUGUUCAAACUGGCUUUUAGUUUUCUUGUUUAUUCUUAACUUUGGCGCUUAAUGUUUUCUCCUUGGUUACAUGGUGAUAAAAGAAUUUAAUUGAGUCUCACACCUGACAUCAUUCCAAGCCAAAGUGGAUGCAUUUGUUCUUCUUCAUCAAGAUCAUUAACAUGCCCACCUCAGACAACUGACAGAAAGUUCAAACCUAGAGCCAAUGUCUAAAUUCUGGCUUGAAGACUUUACUAAUAAUGGGUCUGAUUUCGGGUGAGUCAUUGAAACUGCCUGGAUUUCAGUUUUCCCAUCUCUAAAAGGGAGCAAUAAAUAUGUCUGUCUCUUAUACUUGCUUGGAACAUUAAGUAAAUUAACAAAUCUAUGGUGUUUGGGGAUGUGCCUGACACACAGCUUUCUAUCAUUCCUGAUCCUUGACUUUGAAGGCAUAUGAACUUGAUUGUGUUUGAUUUUUUUUUAAAAAAAUAUUUAUCUAACUAAUUGGUUUAUAUGUAUUUGUGAUUGUGUUUGUGAGUUAAUGUGCAUACAGGAGCGAGGGCAUCAGAGUCACUGAAAUUGGUAAGUGUUGAGUCACCAUGUAGAUUUUGAGAACUGAACCCAGAUCCUCUCUCUACAUGAGCAGGGCAUGUUCUUAACUGUGGUCCUUUUCUCUAAGCCCUAAGCUAUUUUAUUUGUAUGGCCAUAGUUUUUUCUUUUUGAUACCCAGAAAGUAGGGUUAAUGCUAGAUUUCCCAGAAUUCUUAACAGAGGCAUGAUAUAAAGUUUAUCAUAUGUUAAAAUAUUUAAAUUCCACAUGUGUAAAGGACAUAGCUAGGCUUUGACUAAUAAAAAGCAUCCAUUAUUUUGGCUCUUAUUUGGAACAUUUUUAUCAUUUGUAUUCAUUUAUGGAAAUGAACCUCUGCCACAACUUACCAUGGGGUAUCAAGUGACAGCUUUAGUAAGUCAGUAUUCUUCUUGUCCAUAUAGUUCCUGGGGAUGAAAGCAAAGUUAUCAGAUUUGGUAGUAAAGCCCUUCAUCUGCUCCAGUUUCUCACUAGUCUGUAUUCUAUACUUUUAGAAGAAAUAAUCACAAAGAAAACGAAAGCAACAAGGAAACAUAGGACAAAAAGCUUUUUGUUGUGUAAAAGGAGCACCAGUAUGAAAGUCUUAGAUUAAAAUCUGCAAAUGAGACUAAAUUAAAGGAGUUUUGAAAUGACUUUACCCACCAACCAAAUUUUACUGUAUUCAUAGUGACUGCUUUAUUUUCCCACUAAAAUAGUUAUUUAACAAUCAAUAAUACUUAGUUUGACUACCCUUCAUAUGGUGGCAGAAAGCAGUCCUGUGUUUUCCAACUUCCCUGGUAUUAUUGAUAGCUCAAUAGAGCAUCAUAUCAGCAUGAAGGAAUGCAGUCUGUUACAUUAACUUCUUAUGAUUUUAGUUAGAAGACAAUGAAUUAGCACAGCUUAUUCAGCAUUUCUCAACCUCUCUAGUGCUGCAAGCCUUUAAUAUCGUCCCUGAUGCUGUGGUAACCCUAAUGAUAAAAUGAUUUAAUUGAUACUUCAAACUGUAACUUUGCUACUGUUAUGAGCUGUAAUUUACAUAUCUGAUAUACAUGAUAUCUAAUAUGUGACCCCAAAGGGGUCAUGACCCACAGGUUGAAAGCCUCUGCCUUAGAGAGUAGAUGUGAUCUAUUGCUAAGCACAACAUAAGAAACAGCUCUAGCUGUUUGAAAAUUGCUAACUGCUAUUAGCAAGUGUAAUCACAUGCCAUAUGACCAGAUUCUCAAAUCUCAAAGGAAUAACUCAAAACAAGUUUCAUCUUGUUUUACUAAUAGCUUAAUAUUACUAGUUUUGCUUGUGCAAAGUUGAAACAGAAGCAGAUAAAGAAACACGAGGCUGUGCUCCACAAUAAGGAACCAGGAUUUUUUUUUAAACCCACCUUCAAUUCAGCACAGGGCAUUAUGGAUGGCCACUGGGGCCAUUAUCUAGAUGGCAAACAUUGCUGGAUAGAGUAAACAUCACUUUGAACCAUAAUUCAUUAGCCAGAAAUCGAUUGCAGGACCCACCUGCUUCAAAGAGAGACUGAGAAGGGUAGGCUCCCAUUUAUGUUACUUUGUAUUACAGUUUGACAGUCUGGAAAGGGAGCACACAUACUUGGCAGAAGGCAAAGGAUCCUUGUGACACCUGCAUUAAUGAAUGUGGAAGCAAUAGAAAUAUGCGUACUCUUGCCCCCUCAUUCUCUGUUGUUCCUCUGAUCUCUGACAUAGGAUUUAUCAUUUAUUAUAAAAUCAGUAACUAUUCAUGAGUGAACAGAUCUGUAUCCAACUCCUUCCCUUAUCUCCUUCUCUUUCUAUCUUCUCCGUCUUUCCAAUAACUCUCACGUUGUUUUUUUUUUGUUUUUCUUGAUCGAAAUACUCACAGAAGGUUGUCAUCUAGAACUGCAAUAAAUGAUUGAAGCAUAAAGAUUCAAUUAAAACUCAGGAGGAGGCAUGACAGGAGAAAAGAAAGGGGCAUUACUGUAAAGUAUUAAGAAGCUUUGCAGUUAGUCACUGAGAUGUUGAACAGUCUUACAAAGGAUGAACGUAUCUCGUUGAGAGCAUCUGUCAGCCAUGGGUAAGUCAGUAGAGAUGGCUGACAUUGAUCUCCAUCUUUGCCAUGGGGUUUCCUGUGUGCUAAAGAGACCCUAGGCUUGACAUAGUGCUGUCGUCUGGGCCUAGACUGGAGAUUCUACAUAAGUUAGACCUUUCUCUUGAUGAAAAUCAUCUAGUGCCUUGCUGUGAAUCAAUGUGUAAACUCUAUCAUGUGCCAUGGUAAACUAAGCACUUCACUGUCAUGGCAUUGCCUACAUUUGCUUUAAUUUUCCUAGAAUGUUGAAGAACCUUCUAGUAAAACACCUCCUGUCUUCACAGACUUAAUAUGCCCAAUCCUGAUUGUGUCUCAGUUAUAUCCUUUCUGAUGGAAAUUUUGAUGAUGUUGCCAUCCACUAAUUCAGCACUAUGUACUUGACACUGUGCCAAUCAACUCAUAUAUAUUAUUCCUCUUACUCUUCUCAUUAGCCCCAUUUGGUAUUUAGAAGCCUACAGAAUUGUGUUAAGUUUGAUUUUUGAAUUUACCUCAAGUCAAGCAUAUUAGAAAAAGGCAGAGUUCAAAAAUCAAAUCUUGUUGAGUUCAAAGCUUAUGUAAUCAAAUAGCUAAGCUGCUGAUUAUUUCUUGAGAGAGAAAGAUUAUUUUAUCCUCUAUUCUAGAACAAAGGGUUUUAUAUAGAUAUUAGCAUAACUUUUAAAAGGUCACAAUGGAAUGAAACUUGACUAAAUUACAAAUACCUAUGACUCCCCCUUCUUAGGUUUCAGAAUUCCAGACCAGUGACUCAGCAAUCUGUCCAGGGACCUCUAAAGUGUUAAAUAUUGCUUAUUCAAAGAAUGAAUCCAUAGUUUGUAUAAGCUUUUCUAGAUUUCUGACACCCACAAAAGUUACAGUCCAUUUGGGACACACACACACACAAAUACCUCUCCCCCCCCCCAACACACACACUUCUAUCAUGUGAUCUCUCAUAAAAGUAUACAAACACAUUAUUCUUUGAUUAAAUGUAGAUUUCCUGAAACCAAAGUUUUAGCCAUAUGUUCCUGAGAAACUUUUCAUAGAGAUGGCAGACUCAGACUAUGAGUCAACAUUUUUUUUAAGGCCCCCUCGAUGUCCUUAAAAGAAGAAAGGGGUAGCUUCUAGGGGGAGUGGAAGAUUUAAUCUUUUUGCUAGUUCAGGUCCCUUGGAGGCAAAAAUGGUGUUAAUAUAGAUCGCAGAAUUGUUUCAUAUCUGCAUAUUAUCAAGGGAACUGAAAACAGGUUCUUACUGCUCUGGCCAGGAGCUGUUUAGUUUGGGUGUGGGUAUGUGAACCUGCAGAGCAGAGCCAGACACUGGAUUCUACCCCCCCCCCCCCCACACACACACACAUACACUGCUUCCUACUCCCUGAAUGAGAUGGCUUCUUAUCCCUCUAUACAGCUGAUAACAGCUGGAUAUUGUCCAGUGCUCCUCUCUUGGUGUUCAAGAGUGACAAACUAGGUUCAUGUCCUCAAUGGCUUUCUAAAAAUAGACUUCUAGAAGGAAAUUAUGCACUGGUGUUUCAGAAAGAGCAUUUUCUCUGUUUUUCAACUGCUACAUUGUUUUUCACUAGACUGUAUAUGGGGUGGGUCUUUAGGGUUUGACAAUCUUAGGGAAAUUAGUAAGCAAAGGAUUAUGAUUCAUGUCAUGGUAGGUGUAGGAGACUAUGUCUAACAGAAGAGACUUCAUUUAGAUUCCUAACAAUUAAAUGAAUCUAUUCUAACUUGAAAUCAAAGUAUUGCAUUCUGAGAACCCAACAUUGAUUUUUAAAGUAGCACAGUGAGGUAUUAACACUUUCCAAACUUAUGAUACUGUUUCUAUCCAUUAGAAUUGGUUACUGGUUACCAUCUUGAUGCAGUAGAAACAUUCUGUCAAGUGACAGAGAAUUCUGAUUUUGUACAACUUAAAGUUUAACAGACCUGCUGGGUGUGGUGGCGCAUGCCUUUCAUCCCAGCACUUGGGAAGCAGAGGAAGGCAGAUUUCUGAGUUCCAGGCCAGCCUGGGAACUACAAAGUGAGUUCCAGGACAGCCAGGGCUACAGAGAAACCCUGUCUGGAAAACCAAAACCAAAACCAAAACAAAACAAAAAAGUUUAACAGACCUUCAAAAUGUUUUUUUUUCUAUUUCUAGGGGAAAAAUGAUACUUUCUUCUUUGAAGAUGUACAGAAUUGUUAUAAAUAAAUAAAUAAAUAAAUAAAUACAUGGCUUAGCAUUCUUUGCUUGUUCCCUAACCCACAUCUGUUUGCUUUCUUAGGAGUUUUUCAUAAAAUGUAUAAAGUUUAUAUAAAAUUAUUCUUAGAUGCUUAGCUUUUGUUGGAAAAAUCACCCUAAAUUUUCAUGAACUGAAUUUUAAACUAUUCUGUGAAAUAACUUGCGAAAUAAUUACACAGUUGGGCAUAAGAAAGUGCCAGGUGAGAUCACUGAUACAACUGACAGGACCCUUCACAGUCCAUUUGGAAAGCGAACCUCUCUCUCUCUCUCUCUCUCUCUCUCUCUCUCUCUCUCUCUCUCUCUCUCUCUCUCUCUUACACACACACACACACACACACACACACACACACACACACACACACUCCCACUCACUUUCGAUUUAACACCAGAAAAACUAAGUCAGGUCAGUGUGUAUACUUGUUUGCACCAUACAUCCUUGGAACAGUCACUUCAUUUUGCAGCAUUUUUUUUAAUCAUAAGACAGGAUACAUAAUUUGAACAUGCCAAUGUGGAUGAAGAAAAACCCAUGAGACCUCAAACCUAUGCAAAGACCUGAGGAAAGUUGGAAGCAGGAGAGGUAUUCUUUCUCACAGAAAAACGCACAUUUGAUUAGUCCCAAAUGGUUGAUCCUGAAAAUGUACAUACAAGAAAUAUAUGAACAGAGAAGGUUAUAUUUAGGAGUAUAUAUGUAUACACACACACACACAUACACACACUGACAAUUAAAAAAUUAAGUCAUGAAUUUAAAGUUAAGUGGAAAGGGGUGUAUGAGAGGACUUGGGGGAGGAAAUGGAAAGGAGAAAUAUAAUUAUAAUCUCACAAAUUUUUAAAAUAAGGAAAGAGGAUGUUUCAACGAUUAUAUCAGAUGAAAUCAUACCAGCAGAAACAAAUUGAAAACUGUGGAAUAUAAACCCAUUGGACUUUUCUUAUCUAUAUCAUCAAUAUGCAGUGAAAUUUUCAUUAUUAGUGUCCAGGUUUCAAGUAACCAAGAUCCUAUUAUGAUAUUUAAUAAGGCCAAAAAUGGCCUUGUUUAAAAGAUAAAUGAUAAAAUGAUUAAUGUUUGUAAGUCCUUAGCAGUUUUCCUAUCCAUGUGUUUUCUGGAGUCUCUGUCUAUAGACAGCCAUGGAACUUAUGCGGACACUUUGCAUUCAGAGAAAUAUCCCCCAUUUCCCUGUAGUUUGAGAUUGUGACCUUAUUUUCUCUGCUCUUGGGUGCUUUGCUUGAUGCGCCUCUGACAAUGUGUUCCCCACUCCCCCUGUGAUUUCGGAGUAUAUACUCCCUUGUUUCAUGCGUGAUGUUUUGAGUAGUAUUUACAUUCACUCAUGUGGCACAAAUUUUGAAUAUUCCUUAUGAGCUUGUACACCGCAUACCUGGUAGAACCAUCAUCCAGAGGCAGAGUUCUCAACCUUCCUAAUGUUGUUCAUGACCCUUUCAUACAGUUCCUUCUGUUCUGAUGACCCAACUAUAAAAUUAUUCUCAUUGCUACUUCAUAACUCUAAGCUUGCUACUCUUAUGGAUGGCCAUCUAAACACGUUUUGGAGAUAGAGGUUUGCCAAAGGCGUUGUGCCUCACAAGUUAUGAAGAGCUGGUAUAGAGCAUCACUGGCAUCCAGGACUUAACUAGACAGAUGUAAGUUAAAUAUUCUCCUUAUAUGACAACUAUAGGGGGCUGAAAAUGCAUCAUAUUGACCUAUAUGAUGUAGACAUAUCUAUUCAUUGUCCAUGAGAUAUGUGAUCAUUAGGUCUUGAAUGAGACCUUCUUUGGAUAACUGCCUUUAUGUUUGCAUUGCAAUCCCAGACAUCCAGUUGAUCCCUAAGCAUAGUGAAAGUGACUCUAUAAGAAACAAAAGAAGUGAAGACAAAGACCAAUGGAGAAACUCUUGUGAAGGCAAAGGUGGGAACUGAAUUAGGGCAGCUAUAACAGAGGAUCAAAUAAUCUAGGUAUAAGAUAUCCCUGCAAAAACGUUCUCUCCAAUAUCCUUUGUGUUUAAUUUUUAAUUGAAAAUUUGAACAUUUUUUGCCAACUUCUCAUACAGCAAUGUUAUCAAAAUAAGAACAGUAUAUCCCCCCUCUCAGUCUACUAUGCACUACAACAUAACUAAAAUCUCAAAUAGAAAUAAGGACUGCACUUGCAUAGCCUCUGCUUCCUUUAUUAGACUGUCAAUGCUGAGCAAGUUGACACAAACUAAGUACGAACACAAGUUUAACAUAUUAACACCUGGUAGAAGGGAAGAGUGUGCUUGAUUGAUCCCAAUGAUAGCAUUAACUUGAGAAAACCAAGAAAUUCAGAGCAGUGAAAUCUAGUUUUGCAGGUUGAUGACAAAAUUGCCUCUAGACACCUAUAAAUUUGGUUUCCUAGUGGUUUCCUAGGAGGGAGUAUUUUCAUAUAAAGUAGGUGUAGGUUUUGGAAUUAUCUGUGGAAUGUGCAUGGUGACAAUCUAUAAUCACAGCAUUGUAGACACUGAUACAAUGCUGUCCUUAUCCCCUCCAGUUCCCAAAAUAGCAUGAAGUGCCAAUGUCAGUGAGUGGCACCGGUCAUUUUCCAGCACUUAAAUCCCUUAGUUUUGUCUAGCUUAGUUGAUGGCAAUUUAAGAUGACAAAUGAGUAAAAUGAGAGUCCUGGCUUCAGAUUAGACAGACCAGUAGCAGUUUCCUGGGAGGAUACCCCUGUCUGACUAAUGCUGAUUAACCCUGACAAUGGUAUCUUAGACUGUGUGCCAGCUAAACUCCCAGUCUUCAUAAUAUCAGGAGGCUAGUAAUUUUCAUUCAUAUUUUUUUACCUGAGGCUUCGAGAUGUUAGGGUUCCAGACAGUUCUGUAGAUGUGUCAGAGUUGAGAUUUGAACCCCUGAAGGAUGCUCCUAACAUCUCUGUUCUCAUAUGAGAUGGGAAGGAAUGCUGUGUUAAAGUCUGAGUGCCUAAAGCACAAAUAAUAUCUACAGUGAUGUUGGGACGCUGACUGUAAAGCCACAGAACAGGAAAUGAAAUUCCCAUGCUUCCUCUUGUUGGAGCAAAGGCGAUAUAUAGCUUGAGUUAACUGAAUAUUAAGGCAGGAUGAGAGUUUCCUAUACUCACCAUAAAUGAACACAGAUGGACCCUCUUCAAAGAGAGAUUCCUCCUACUGAAUUUUAAUAGUGUUCUCCUGCAGAACACAUUUGCAAAAUGGAUCAUAACAUAUUCAUAUUUUUCUCUAGCCUGCCAAGUAUGAAAUGAUUAAGAAACCUGCUUGCACUUUAAAUAUUGUUAGCAUAUCUGUGUGUAUUUCAAGUGUAUCUGUGAUAAAUAUUUGUUAAUUGAAUAUAUACACACAAACAUACAUGAUGCAAUAUAUGCUUACAUAUAUCAAGUUUAACAAAUAUUUGUUGAAUUAUGAUGAAUAUAAAUAUGGAGUUGUAGAAAUUCAAAGAUAAAAUUAUUUCCAGCUCUCAAGGAGCUUUACAAGAAGAGAUGAGACAUUUCUGUUUCAGUUGUGAGUGGUCCACAAUAUUUUGGUAGUGUUCCAUCAAGGAUGGCAUCUGUCCCAUGGGUUACUGGCAUCACUUGUACAGCAUUAUAAAUUCAGCUUCAUCGGCAGGGUCAUACAUAGUUCAGCUAUAUCAGAAAUGCCAUGGAAAGAGCCUCACUGAUCCCUGAGGUCUUCUUGUUUGUUUGUUCAAUGCCAAGAAUUAAACUCAGGCUUUAUACAUUCUAGGUAGCCACUCUAGGCAUCAACUACACACUCAGUUGGCUUGUCUCGGUAGUCUCUUAAGGGGAUUCUGGAGCAAGCAUGUUAAUGCUGUUGGACUCACUGGGCUAUACAAAAAUGUAAAUGCAAAAGAUGGUCUCAUAGUUGACAAGCUACAAAGAAGGAAGCAUCAUUUCUAGUAGUCAUGGAUAUCAGGUAGAUUUUUAGUGAGCAGAAUGAUUGGAAA
Mus musculus (house mouse) is the source of this 23089-nucleotide long non-coding RNA. RefSeq annotates it as predicted gene, 53737. The record is from RefSeq and is a predicted model, not a curated record. NCBI's taxonomy places the organism in Eukaryota, Metazoa, Chordata, Mammalia, Rodentia, Muridae. The transcript has 2 exons.